AUAUUCUUCUUACUUUCACUGAUAACUCAUUUCUUUAUCUUACUUUACUUUGCACUAUUUUAUAAUAAGUUUAAUAUUUCUUUUCUAAAUUAAGAUAUGUUGGAUUUAUAAUUAAUUUUGUUGAUUUCUAUAUCCUUUGAUUAAUAAGGAAAGACUUAUAUAAUUAUUUUGAAUAUCCUUUAAUUAAUCAGAAAAGUGCUUGUUUAAUUCUGAGAAAAUAUUUUACUUUGCGGAAAUAAUUUCUUAGGAUAGUGUCUAGGAUGACUCAAGCAAUUUAUCUAUUACUUAAAAUCAUAUUUUAUAAUAUCUAUUUAAUAUUCAUCUAUUACUUAAAAUCAUAUUUUAUAAUAUCUAUUUAAUAUUCAGUAUUAUUAAUUUGUCAAUAAUUAAUUAUAUUAUUGUUAAUAUUAUUAUAUUAAUCAUUACUAAAGUAGUAAUAUUAUUAUACAUUGUUAUAUUAUUGUACUGCUAUUAUCAUUAUUAUAUUAACAUUUUUUUAAUAGUUUAAAUAUUAUUGUUAUUGGUAUUUUAUCAUUGUUCCCCAAAAAUUUAAGAAACUACGGCAUAUAAUAUUGAUCCUAAGAUCGUUGAUAAUACUGAUGUUUGUGUUGCUAUGAUUGCUUUCAUUCCAGUCAGUUUGUCAGAAGAUUAUGAUACUGUAGAAUUCAGAAGGAUAUUGUGAUGCAAACUGGAUCUCUGAUUCAGAUGAGACGAAAUUCGCUAGCGGUUAUGUGUUCACCUUAGGUGGUGGUGCAGUAUCAUGAAAAUCAGCUAAGCAAACGAUCAUUGCCAAAUCUACUAUGGAGUUAAAAUUUAUAGCUCUGGAGCUAGCUGGAAUAGAGGCUGAAUGACUAAGAAAUUUCUUAGCAAAUAUCCCUUUUAGAAAGGAUGAUCUAAUGUCUCCUGUAUAUAUACAUUGUGAUUGUCAUGCCACAAUUGCUAUUGUGAAGAAUAAAUCUUACAAUUGUAAGAGUAGACAUAUGAAAAUGAGACAUGAUGUUGUUAAGCAGUCGCUGAGAGAAGGAAUGAUUUCCAUUGAUUAUGUGAAGUCAGAAUUGAAUUUGGCCGAUUCACUGAUUAACUUGUGGAAAGAAAAUUAAUUCUUCAAACCUCGAAAGUGAUAGGGUUAAGGUCGACAUGAUUGUCAAUAAAGAUGGUAACCCAACCUAUGUGAUUGGAGAUCCCCAUAAAGUAGGUUCAUAUGGGUAAUAACAAGUCGAUAUUAACACUGCGCACUUACUGAGAGUGCUUGAACUGUUACUAAAAUUGAGGAAUGAGUUAUUAACUCUUAAUGAAUUCACAGCCCUUAUGGGUGGUGUAUUUAAAGCAGUGUACACUUAAUGAAUUCACCUAUAUGAGAAGUGGAAUGAGGUCGUUCCUAUGAGACUUUGGCCUAAUCUCUAGAGCUUUUAUGAAUAGUAGGUACGCGCAUGACUUAUUGACGCAAAAUCGCAUUGAAUAAUAAAUUUACGGUCAAAAUGUGAUUGAUAAAGUCUCUAACUUACAAUAAGAGUUAUUUGGUUUAUAGAAAUAUUAUAUUUCACCAAUAAUUCGGUAAGUUAAAUUUUAUCAAUCAAAGUUUGGUUCAUAGUCCAAAAAACACCAAAUCUAUUGUAUUUUAUCCAUAAAAAUCCAAUAAGUUUUAAUUCUUUAAUUAUUUAUUUUAAAAAAUAUAUGGGGGAUUGAUAGAUAUUUUUAAAAAUAAAUUAAUUAUGCAAGUAAAUGAAAACUUUGGGACAAAGUUUUAAUUAUGUGGAUCCAUAUAUGCCACAUCAUUAUUCUUGGUGGCCAAGGGAAUUUUGUGGACCAUAAAAUUUCCACGUGAGUUAACAAAAGGCAGCCAACUUUCUUUUCAUUUUUAAGUAUUAUCUUCACUGUCUCUUUUCCCUAUAAAUAGCCAAUGUAUUCCCUUCAAAUGAAAACACCGAUACAUUGAUAUAUUCUUCUUACUUUCAUUGCUAACUCAUUUCUUUAUCUUGCUUUACUUUGCAUUAUUUUAUAAUAAGUUUAAUAUUUUCUUUCUAAAUUAAGAUCUGUUGGAUUUAUAAUUAAUUUUAUUGAUUUUUGUAUCCUUUGAUUAAUAAGGGAAGACUUAUAUAAUUAUUCUAGAUAUCUUCUAAUUAAUUAGGGAAGUGCUUGUUUAAUUCUAGAGAAACAUUUCACUUGACGAAAAUAUUUUCUUAGGACGUGCCUAGCACGACUCAAGUAAUUUAUAUAU
Molecule: long non-coding RNA, 2218 nt
Organism: Capsicum annuum
Lineage: Eukaryota; Viridiplantae; Streptophyta; Magnoliopsida; Solanales; Solanaceae
Exons: 2
Source: RefSeq, a predicted model, not a curated record